Molecule: ribosomal RNA, 305 nt
Filed under: uncultured bacterium
Lineage: Bacteria
Description: bacterial SSU rRNA
Rfam family: Bacterial small subunit ribosomal RNA
Source: RNAcentral
GUUUCCCUACGGGAGGCAGCAGUGAGGAAUAUUGGUCAAUGGGCGCAAGCCUGAACCAGCCAAGUCGCGUGAGGGAUGAAGGUACAGAGUAUCGUAAACCUCUUUUGUCAGGGAACAAAGGCGGGGACGCGUCCCCGGAUGAGUGUACCUGAAGAAAAAGCAUCGGCUAACUCCGUGCCAGCAGCCGCGGUAAUACGGAGGAUGCGAGCGUUAUCCGGAUUUAUUGGGUUUAAAGGGUGCGCAGGCGGUCUGUUAAGUCAGCGGUCAAAGCCCGGGGCUCAACCCCGGCCCGCCGUUGAAACUGG